Molecule: long non-coding RNA, 842 nt
Organism: Oncorhynchus tshawytscha (Chinook salmon)
Lineage: Eukaryota; Metazoa; Chordata; Actinopteri; Salmoniformes; Salmonidae
Source: Ensembl
AGUUUGUGACGCGGGCUAAGUCAUGUGACGCGAGCUAAGUCAUGUGACGCGGGCUAAGUCAUGUGACGCGGGCUAAGUCAUGUGACGCGAGCUAAGUCAUGUGACGCGGGCUAAGUCAUGUGACGCGGGCUAAGUCAUGUGACGCGGGCUAAGUCAUGUGACGCGGGCUAAGUCAUGUCUACUGUUUUUCUAGAUCAGUGUUUCCCAACUCCUCCUGUUCCCCCAACAGAACACAUUCUAAACCAGUGUUUCCCAACUCCUCCUUGUUUCCCAACAGAACACAUUCUAAACCAGUGUUUCCCAACUCCUCCUGUUCCCCCAACAGAACACAUUCUAAACCAGUGUUUCCCAACUCCUCCAACAGAACACAUUCUAAACCAGUGUUUCCCAACAGAACACAUUCUAAACCAGUGUUUCCCAACUCCCCCAACAGAACACAUUCUAAACCCGUGUUUCCCAACUCCUCCAACAGAACACAUUCUAAACCAGUGUUUCCCAACUCCUCCAUGUUUCCCAACAGAACACAUUCUAAACCAGUGUUUCCCAACUCCUCCUGUUCCCCCAACAGAACACAUUCUAAACCAGUGUUUCCCAACUCCUCCAACAGAACACAUUCUAAACCAGUGUUUCCCAACUCCCCCAACAGAACACAUUCUAAACCAGUGUUUCCCAACUCCUCCUGUUCCCCCAACAGAACACAUUCUAAACCAGUGUUUCCCAACUCCCCCAACAGAACACAUUCUAAACCAGUGUUUCCCAACUCCCCCAACAGAACACAUUCUAAACCAGUGUUUCCCAACUCCCCCAACAGAACACAUUCUAAACCAGUGUUUCCCAACUCC